This 301-nucleotide ribosomal RNA is filed under the name uncultured bacterium. Its description in RNAcentral is "partial 16S ribosomal RNA". It matches the Rfam family "Bacterial small subunit ribosomal RNA", at positions 509 to 809 of the family's 1533-position model. The record is from RNAcentral.
CAGUCGCCACGGGAAUACGUAGGGUGCAAGCGUUAAUCGGAAUUACUGGGCGUAAAGCGUGCGCAGGCGGUUAUAUAAGACAGAUGUGAAAUCCCCGGGCUCAACCUGGGAACUGCAUUUGUGACUGUAUAGCUAGAGUACGGCAGAGGGGGAUGGAAUUCCGCGUGUAGCAGUGAAAUGCGUAGAUAUGCGGAGGAACACCGAUGGCGAAGGCAAUCCCCUGGGCCUGUACUGACGCUCAUGCACGAAAGCGUGGGGAGCAAACAGGAUUAGAUACCCCGGUAGUCCCUGUCUCUUUAUA